Molecule: transfer RNA, 76 nt
Filed under: Propionibacteriaceae bacterium
Lineage: Bacteria; Bacillati; Actinomycetota; Actinomycetes; Propionibacteriales; Propionibacteriaceae
Also listed under: 1 other name
Description: tRNA-Met
Rfam family: tRNA
About the family: Transfer RNA (tRNA) molecules are approximately 80 nucleotides in length. Their secondary structure includes four short double-helical elements and three loops (D, anti-codon, and T loops).
Source: RNAcentral
GACGGGGUAGCUCAGUCGGUAGAGCAAGCGGCUCAUAAUCGCUGUGUCGCGGGUUCAAGUCCCGCUCUCGUCACCA